GGUUAAGCGACUAAGCGUACACGGUGGAUGCCCUGGCAGUCAGAGGCGAUGAAGGACGUGCUAAUCUGCGAUAAGCGUCGGUAAGGUGAUAUGAACCGUUAUAACCGGCGAUUUCCGAAUGGGGAAACCCAGUGUGUUUCGACACACUAUCAUUAACUGAAUCCAUAGGUUAAUGAGGCGAACCGGGGGAACUGAAACAUCUAAGUACCCCGAGGAAAAGAAAUCAACCGAGAUUCCCCCAGUAGCGGCGAGCGAACGGGGAGGAGCCCAGAGCCUGAAUCAGUGUGUGUGUUAGUGGAAGCGUCUGGAAAGGCGCGCGAUACAGGGUGACAGCCCCGUACACAAAAAUGCACAUGCUGUGAGCUCGAUGAGUAGGGCGGGACACGUGGUAUCCUGUCUGAAUAUGGGGGGACCAUCCUCCAAGGCUAAAUACUCCUGACUGACCGAUAGUGAACCAGUACCGUGAGGGAAAGGCGAAAAGAACCCCGGCGAGGGGAGUGAAAAAGAACCUGAAACCGUGUACGUACAAGCAGUGGGAGCACGCUUAGGCGUGUGACUGCGUACCUUUUGUAUAAUGGGUCAGCGACUUAUAUUCUGUAGCAAGGUUAACCGAAUAGGGGAGCCGAAGGGAAACCGAGUCUUAACUGGGCGUUAAGUUGCAGGGUAUAGACCCGAAACCCGGUGAUCUAGCCAUGGGCAGGUUGAAGGUUGGGUAACACUAACUGGAGGACCGAACCGACUAAUGUUGAAAAAUUAGCGGAUGACUUGUGGCUGGGGGUGAAAGGCCAAUCAAACCGGGAGAUAGCUGGUUCUCCCCGAAAGCUAUUUAGGUAGCGCCUCGUGAAUUCAUCUCCGGGGGUAGAGCACUGUUUCGGCAAGGGGGUCAUCCCGACUUACCAACCCGAUGCAAACUGCGAAUACCGGAGAAUGUUAUCACGGGAGACACACGGCGGGUGCUAACGUCCGUCGUGAAGAGGGAAACAACCCAGACCGCCAGCUAAGGUCCCAAAGUCAUGGUUAAGUGGGAAACGAUGUGGGAAGGCCCAGACAGCCAGGAUGUUGGCUUAGAAGCAGCCAUCAUUUAAAGAAAGCGUAAUAGCUCACUGGUCGAGUCGGCCUGCGCGGAAGAUGUAACGGGGCUAAACCAUGCACCGAAGCUGCGGCAGCGACGCUGAUGCGUUGUUGGGUAGGGGAGCGUUCUGUAAGCCUGUGAAGGUGUGCUGUGAGGCAUGCUGGAGGUAUCAGAAGUGCGAAUGCUGACAUAAGUAACGAUAAAGCGGGUGAAAAGCCCGCUCGCCGGAAGACCAAGGGUUCCUGUCCAACGUUAAUCGGGGCAGGGUGAGUCGACCCCUAAGGCGAGGCCGAAAGGCGUAGUCGAUGGGAAACAGGUUAAUAUUCCUGUACUUGGUGUUACUGCGAAGGGGGGACGGAGAAGGCUAUGUUGGCCGGGCGACGGUUGUCCCGGUUUAAGCGUGUAGGCUGGUUUUCCAGGCAAAUCCGGAAAACUAAGGCUGAGGCGUGAUGACGAGGCACUACGGUGCUGAAGCAACAAAUGCCCUGCUUCCAGGAAAAGCCUCUAAGCAUCAGGUAACAUCAAAUCGUACCCCAAACCGACACAGGUGGUCAGGUAGAGAAUACCAAGGCGCUUGAGAGAACUCGGGUGAAGGAACUAGGCAAAAUGGUGCCGUAACUUCGGGAGAAGGCACGCUGAUAUGUAGGUGAAGUCCCUCGCGGAUGGAGCUGAAAUCAGUCGAAGAUACCAGCUGGCUGCAACUGUUUAUUAAAAACACAGCACUGUGCAAACACGAAAGUGGACGUAUACGGUGUGACGCCUGCCCGGUGCCGGAAGGUUAAUUGAUGGGGUCAGCGCAAGCGAAGCUCUUGAUCGAAGCCCCGGUAAACGGCGGCCGUAACUAUAACGGUCCUAAGGUAGCGAAAUUCCUUGUCGGGUAAGUUCCGACCUGCACGAAUGGCGUAAUGAUGGCCAGGCUGUCUCCACCCGAGACUCAGUGAAAUUGAACUCGCUGUGAAGAUGCAGUGUACCCGCGGCAAGACGGAAAGACCCCGUGAACCUUUACUAUAGCUUGACACUGAACAUUGAGCCUUGAUGUGUAGGAUAGGUGGGAGGCUUUGAAGUGUGGACGCCAGUCUGCAUGGAGCCGACCUUGAAAUACCACCCUUUAAUGUUUGAUGUUCUAACGUUGACCCGUAAUCCGGGUUGCGGACAGUGUCUGGUGGGUAGUUUGACUGGGGCGGUCUCCUCCUAAAGAGUAACGGAGGAGCACGAAGGUUGGCUAAUCCUGGUCGGACAUCAGGAGGUUAGUGCAAUGGCAUAAGCCAGCUUGACUGCGAGCGUGACGGCGCGAGCAGGUGCGAAAGCAGGUCAUAGUGAUCCGGUGGUUCUGAAUGGAAGGGCCAUCGCUCAACGGAUAAAAGGUACUCCGGGGAUAACAGGCUGAUACCGCCCAAGAGUUCAUAUCGACGGCGGUGUUUGGCACCUCGAUGUCGGCUCAUCACAUCCUGGGGCUGAAGUAGGUCCCAAGGGUAUGGCUGUUCGCCAUUUAAAGUGGUACGCGAGCUGGGUUUAGAACGUCGUGAGACAGUUCGGUCCCUAUCUGCCGUGGGCGCUGGAGAACUGAGGGGGGCUGCUCCUAGUACGAGAGGACCGGAGUGGACGCAUCACUGGUGUUCGGGUUGUCAUGCCAAUGGCACUGCCCGGUAGCUAAAUGCGGAAGAGAUAAGUGCUGAAAGCAUCUAAGCACGAAACUUGCCCCGAGAUGAGUUCUCCCUGACUCCUUGAGAGUCCUGAAGGAACGUUGAAG
Molecule: ribosomal RNA, 2822 nt
Filed under: Escherichia coli
Lineage: Bacteria; Pseudomonadati; Pseudomonadota; Gammaproteobacteria; Enterobacterales; Enterobacteriaceae
Description: partial 23S ribosomal RNA
Rfam family: Bacterial large subunit ribosomal RNA
Source: RNAcentral